GCGAAUGAUCCAUUAUUAUCAUUAUUAUGGUAAAUGGUACCAGUACGAUUGCCACUACCGUUAUUGUAAAAUAUUGACGUCCUUUUUAAAAGGUUCUCCAUAAAGAGCUCAUGUUUGGUGCAUUUUAAAGAAUUAUUGUUGUUUGAAAUUGAAAUGUACUAAAUUAUUUACACUGCCAAGUAUACACUUUACCAAUGUUGCAGACUAUGAAUUAUUGAUAAAUAGUAUCAAAAUGAAAGUCUAAUUGAAGGGUCGUAAAGUUGUAACUUAAAAUUCAAACAUAGUACCAGUAGUACAUGUAAAAAAAAAAUCAAAAAAAAUCUGGAAAAUGUCAAUAACAUAUUUCGGGUAGGGGAUAUUUGGUGGGAAUUUAGGUAAAGGGGAAACAAAAACUAUUUUAUUUUAUACCCAAUCCUGUUGGUUGCCUCAUCCUCUGUAUAUAAGAGACAUUUGAAUAGAAAUAUACCUAAUGUAGUGUACCCUUUACCUUAGGUAUAUCACAUACACUCGUACGUACGUGAUUAGCAGAUGUAAACAGGUUUAAGUGAUGCGUUGAUCACUGCCCACUCUCUAUUUAAUGUCGCGACACGCCUUGUUAAACCUUUCACAAGGUAAACGUGUGAUCGCACACCUAUUCAUAUUACCUAAAUGUGAACAUGUCAUCGAUGCGUCACAUCCGUCAGACUUAAAGCUUCCUGUAUAUAAUACUUUCUUUAUCUCGUUAUGUAUCGCCUGCGGACAUACUGACAGCAUUAGGGUUACAAAAGACGCAGGUUAAGAUCGAUAGUCUCGUUCAACCAGACCCUUGUUGUCUGCGCAAGCUACGCCGAACUUUCUUGUUUACAAAGUGAUCAAGCGUCUUAUUGAACGAGACUUAGGGUAAGAAGACUAUGGACCUCUGUUAUGGCCGCCAUCAUGAUCUCAUUGGGAAAUAUGGCCUCAGACCACAAAUACACUUCCGGGUCGUUGUGCACGUAUGCAGUGCAUAAGGACAUUUCAGAAACAACGUGAUGUCUAAUGACGCAGUGGUGAGGAUAUCCCUCAAUACAGACGAUAUCAUAUUUGCUGCACAAAAAAUUCUUGCGCAAACAACAAGUGAAUUCUUACCAACUCUCAUCGGAAUUACUACGUUAGUGUUUUUAGUGGUUGGAUUUGCGUCAUUCGUUGGGACCUGUUUGAGCCUGUGCGUGUUCGGUAAAUUUAAAUGCUGUUAUCGUUGUAGACGUUCGAGAUACCAUCAUGAUGACGACGACGACGACUUUGUUGACUGUCCAGACCCAGCCGGUAAGCCAUUGCGCAAUGGCAAUGCAUUCCCACAGAACGAAACAUUUUUAUAAAACAAUUCACUCUUUUCUACAAAACAAAACAUCACUAAUGAUGUGGCUAUUAUAUGUUAUUGUGUCCAUCAAGUAAAAAAGGACAAACAAUAUUUUAUUGGUUUGAAAUUUGUGUUCUCUCGGUAGUACAACUAAUUGGUGAUCGGAUGGCGGAAUGGAUAACGCACCAAGGUGACCAGGUUUCGAAUCCCUCGAUUGGAUGUGAAAACUUAUGCUGUCACCUGCCCGACCAUGUGGGUACUCCGGUUCCUCUUACGUUAAGAGGUCCCACUCAUCCCAAUCCUAUAUGGCUAUAUUUUAGUAAAAUGAGAAAUUAACAACAGAAAAGAUAUAUUUAUUUCGUAUAUAAGGUUUUGUUACAGUUAGAGUACCGAUAAUGUCAAGUCAAGAAAAACGACAAGCAAAUCGAAAUUGAAACUCUUCUUUGUUGGAGGUACGACACAAGGGUGGGUGGCUUUGUCUACCUUAAUUCCGAAAUCGGAAAGAGUAUAAGGAAUACAUGGGAAGGACAAUACCAUUGAUUUAAAAAUCACAGCGUAGCCGCUUUAUGUCAUAUUGUGAUUUUGACAAGAGUGUUCUGUCAGAAUCAAAGACAGGACGAAAUAAGUGGUUUUUAUCAUGGACUGGAAAUUUAAAAUCUUCGACAGAAUUGUAACUCGGCACAUUAUUCGUGUCCGUUGAAUAAUCCGCCGACUUGUAACAAAACAAAAUCCGGGUAAACAAGGAUGACCGUGAUAUAUUCUAGACCAGAAACAACUCCUGUACUUUGUAAAGAAAGAAAUGAAAUACUGCAAUAUAUCUUUAAAUCUCAUUUCUCAAAUUGGCACAAAACACUAGACAACAAUUUAUCGCACCUCAGUCAGGGAUAUUCCAUGCGAUGACAUUUUUUUCUAUCCGAGUGGCUUUGGACACUCGGGUGGUAAUAGCGACGACCUUUUUCUAUUUCGUCCGAUCUGUUUGGCGCGGAAUAUUCACAUUUUGCAUUAUUAAAAUUAUAUUUUGUCGUAA
Molecule: RNA transcript, 2345 nt
Organism: Mizuhopecten yessoensis (Yesso scallop)
Lineage: Eukaryota; Metazoa; Mollusca; Bivalvia; Pectinida; Pectinidae
Exons: 2
Source: RefSeq, a predicted model, not a curated record